Molecule: transfer RNA, 71 nt
Filed under: Myxococcales bacterium
Lineage: Bacteria; Pseudomonadati; Myxococcota; Myxococcia; Myxococcales
Description: tRNA-OTHER
Rfam family: tRNA
About the family: Transfer RNA (tRNA) molecules are approximately 80 nucleotides in length. Their secondary structure includes four short double-helical elements and three loops (D, anti-codon, and T loops). Further hydrogen bonds mediate the characteristic L-shaped molecular structure. tRNAs have two regions of fundamental functional importance: the anti-codon, which is responsible for specific mRNA codon recognition, and the 3' end, to which the tRNAs corresponding amino acid is attached (by aminoacyl-tRNA synthetases). tRNAs cope with the degeneracy of the genetic code in two manners: having more than one tRNA (with a specific anti-codon) for a particular amino acid; and 'wobble' base-pairing, i.e. permitting non-standard base-pairing at the 3rd anti-codon position.
Source: RNAcentral
GCGCCUGUAGCUCAACGGAAGAGCGCCCGGUCGACACCGGGAGGUCGCGGGUUCGAACCCCGCCAGGGGCA